GAUGAAAACUGGAGACAAAAUGCAUGAGACCGACAUUGUAGAGAAAGACUUUUUUCCAACUGAACUGAGUGUAAAUCCAGAUAUUUCUUGCAAGUGCAUCAACCAGUGGCCAAUCUGAAAUUUGGGCAAUGUUCCAUUGUGAAGAGUUUAUGUUUCAUGUCUUUGGUACCUUAAUUGGGCCUCCAGCCAGAAAUUUGUGACUGUAAUUUCCUCACUCUACUAUGGACUUCUCAAUGGUGGCUGCAUCUGUAAGACAGUGAAGCAGGAGGAAAGAGAGCAAGGAGGAAAGAAAAAGCAAAGGGUUUGGUCCACCUUCUUAGAAUCACAGCUGUAUCAAAUGGAGAGGAUGGUUCACCUCCCUCAGGAUUUCAGCUAUUAGGUGUCAUAGUUGCCACAGCCCUGCCAUCUUGAGAUUGCCUGAGGUCUGAGGCAUACCAGAAGAGAAUGGAGUAUUUUCAUAUUCUCCCUCUGUGUUAGGAGCUCAUUUUCCUACUCAAACCAGAGCUAGACUGCCUCUCCUGGAGCUCUCUCUGUCUCUGCCCUAAGGGAUGCUCAAUACAGGUUUCUAGGUAUGUUGUAUUCUGGGUACUGAUACUGCAGGUUGGAGGAGAUGUAAAUUCAACACUGGUUGAUUUGGUGGUAACUUGAAUUCUGGUGUUCUCAAUAUGAUUCCUUCUACUAGAUAGUUUUUCUUUUAUUUAUUUGCUUUUUAGGCCCACACCUGAGGCAUAUAUAAGUUCCCAAGCUAGGGGUGAAAUCAGAGCUACUGCUGCCAGCCUAUGCCACAGCCAUAGCAACUUGGAAUAUGAGCCACAUCUGCGAUCUACACCACAGCUCACGGCAAUACCAGAUUCCCGGCCAACUGGGUGAGGCCAGGGAUAGAACCUGCAUCCUCAUGGAUACUGGUCAGACUCAUUUCCACUGUACCACAAUGGUAGCUCCUACUAGAUAGUUUUUAGAGUCUUUAAGUAGCUGUUGGAUGCAUUCUGUCCAGAUUUGAUAUUUACAUUUAGUAGGGGAGACACUAUGUGGUGUGCUAAUUCCACUUACAUUGAACCAUAAUCACCCAUUUGUUGGGUGUUUGUUGAAUACUUUCUAUUCAUAGGCACUGACCUAGAUUCUGGUGGUACAAUGGCAAGCAAAAAGACAAGGCUCUGUCCCAAAUGAAGCUUACCAUUAAAUGACAAAAGAUUUUUAUUAAUCAUCCUUCCUUUUUUAACACGACUUUUUUUGCCUUUGGCCUUUUUCAAAUCAGUGCCCACCUCCCAAUAAGGUUUUUUGAUUGGUCUAUCCUCUUCUACUCAGAAAUACUCAUGGAUAUCUAAAUUUUAUAGUUGAGACCUAACCUGAGACUUCUAUUCUGUUCUGUAAGGUAUAUAAAUUUAUCAUCACGACCUAACAGAGAAAACUACCUUCUAAAAGACUUCAAAGACUUCAGAUGUCCGGUAGGAAAUAAGAGGCAUAGAAAUCAUUGCUCCCAUCUAUACAGGAAAAAAAAAAGGCUGAAAAAACUAAAAAUCAACAUUAUCUCCUUAAAUCAAUCAGAGAAUCAGAGAGCUGUGGUUACAUGGAAAACAACUGCCCUCAUGGGAAUUCCUGUCAUGGCUCAGUGGUUAAUGAAUCCGACUAGGAACCAUAACAUUGCAAGUUCAGUCCUUAGCCUUGCUCAGUGGGUUAAGGAUCUGGCAUUGUCAUGAGCUGUGGUGUAGGUCACAGACGCUGCUCGGAUCCCACAUUGCUGUGGCUCUGGCAUAGGCUGGUGGCUACAACUCUGAUUAGACCCCUAGCCUGGGAACCUCCAUAUGCUGUGGUGCAGCCCUAGAAAAGACAAAAAACAAAAAACAAAAACAAAAACAAAACCCCAAAAAACACAACUGCCCUCAUGAAGAGAGAUACUGCUGGAUACAGAGACCACACUUACUGGAGCAGAAGACCAGGAAUAGGAAACUCCACAGGAUUCAGUACAGGUUCCUUUUACCCAGUAUAUCUUCUCUGGCUUUGUGUUCUGACACCAAUUGGGUGUCUUACAAUUCACUUCAACUCUGACACUAGCUAGUUGCAAGUCGCAUCGGAUUCCACAAAUUAAAGAGCAAGGUCCUCAAUAAGACUGCCUUUACUUCAGACGCCAGCCACCAGUGAGUUCUCCAGGCUACUCACACUUCUGCCUGGCUGACUACAAAUUGGAGCUUUCCCACAACCCCCUAGGGCUGCACCCAUGGCAUACGGAGGUUCCCAGACUAGGGGUUGAAUCAGAGCUGCAGCUGCCGACCUCUGCCACAGCCACAGCAAUGUCAAAUCCAAGCCACAUCUGUGACCUACACCACAGCUCAUGGCAACGUUGGAACCUUAACCCACUGAGCAAAGCCAAGGAUCAAAGCUGUGUCCUCAUGGAUACUAGUUGGAUUUGUUUCCACUGAGCCACAAUGGGAAUUCUGGAUUUUUCACCAUAAGAAGAGAGAAACCCAGCAGUUGCUACAUUCUGCUGAAUGGCAUCUAUAAUUACCUUAACAUUCAUAGCAGGACAAUGAUCAGAGAGUAAGCCAAUGCCUUCUGUGACUUGUAAGAACUGUGAAAAUAGGGAUUUUAAAAUUAGAGGUGGAAAGAAUUUUAAAGCUCUAUAAAGUUAAUAACUAUAAAGUUAAUAACUCCACUUCAAAAUAUAUCAAGCAAGAGUGAUGUCAGAGAAGACGGCAGAGUAGAAAGCUCCUGGAAUCUCUACCUCCACUUAAACAACUAUUGAACUGACAGAAACUCUCUAAAGUAAAUAAUUUGAUACUCUGGAGUCUAGUUGAAAAGUUGAUCUCAGUGAGCUUUAGCUUUCCUAUUCAGCAGUGGCUACCAUCUUCACACCUCAUUAUAGUAGGGAGCCAAGGGACUGCUGUCUGUGUUCUUAAUGUAGCUUUCUAGAGCCAAGGUUAGCAUUGAGGACAUGGUUCUCCAAAUAUUGAGGUUACGUGUUAUUUCUGAUUGCUACUUUCAUUGAUAAGUGCUCAAUAGCAUAUUUGAACAGGAAGCAGAAAGGAUCAGAAAAUCCAAAGAUAGGAUAGUUGAAAGUAUUUAGUAUAAGGAACAAAAAGGAAAAAAAAA
RNAcentral lists this long non-coding RNA (3087 nucleotides) under Sus scrofa (pig). RNAcentral describes it as "lncRNA (ENSSSCG00040055454.1)". The record is from RNAcentral. Lineage: Eukaryota; Metazoa; Chordata; Mammalia; Artiodactyla; Suidae.